This 442-nucleotide ribosomal RNA is filed under the name uncultured crenarchaeote. Its description in RNAcentral is "bacterial SSU rRNA". It matches the Rfam family "Archaeal small subunit ribosomal RNA", at positions 253 to 697 of the family's 1478-position model. The record is from RNAcentral. Lineage: Archaea; Thermoproteati; Thermoproteota.
UUCGCCCUUUACCGGUGCGGCCCGUGAGAGCGGAAGCCCGGAGAUGGGCAUUGAGAUAAGGGCCCAGGCCUAUGGGGCCGCAGCAGUUGCGAAACCUCCGCAAUGCGCGAAAGCGUGACGGGGUUACCCCAAGUGCCAUCCGCUGAGGACGGCUUUUCUUUGGUGUAAUGAGCCAAAGGAAUAAGGGGAGGGCAAGACUGGUGUCAGCCGCCGCGGUAAUACCAGCUCCCCGAGUGGUAGGGACAAUUAUUGGGCUUAAAGCGUCCGUAGCCGGCCUGGCAAGUCUUUCGUUAAAUCCAGCGACUUAAUCGUUGGGCUGCGGGAGAUACUGUCGGGCUAGGGGACGGGAGAGGCCGAUGGUAUUCUUGGGGUAGGGGUGAAAUCCUAUAAUCCCAGGAGGACCACCAGUGGCGAAGGCGAUCGGCUAGAACGCGCCCGACGG